GUACUGAUGAAGAGUCCCAAACUAGGACGGAAGAAACAGCUGUCCAGUAC
Trichobilharzia regenti is the source of this 50-nucleotide non-coding RNA. Lineage: Eukaryota; Metazoa; Platyhelminthes; Trematoda; Strigeidida; Schistosomatidae. The record is from Rfam.